UGAACCUCCAUGUAGGUGCUGGAGACUGAACU
Molecule: non-coding RNA, 32 nt
Filed under: Rattus norvegicus (Norway rat)
Lineage: Eukaryota; Metazoa; Chordata; Mammalia; Rodentia; Muridae
Source: RNAcentral